UAAGGUAACGGCUUACCAAGGCGACGAUCAGUAGCCGACCUGAGAGGGUGAUCGGCCACAUUGGAACUGAGACACGGUCCAAACUCCUACGGGAGGCAGCAGUGGGGAAUAUUGCACAAUGGGCGAAAGCCUGAUGCAGCAACGCCGCGUGAGUGAUGAAGGCCUUCGGGUCGUAAAACUCUGUCCUCAAGGAAGAUAAUGACGGUACUUGAGGAGGAAGCCCCGGCUAACUACGUGCCAGCAGCCGCGGUAAUACGUAGGGGGCUAGCGUUAUCCGGAUUUACUGGGCGUAAAGGGUGCGUAGGCGGUCUUUCAAGUCAGGAGUGAAAGGCUACGGCUCAACCGUAGUAAGCUCUUGAAACUGGGAGACUUGAGUGCAGGAGAGGAGAGUGGAAUUCCUAGUGUAGCGGUGAAAUGCGUAGAUAUUAGGAGGAACACCAGUUGCGAAGGCGGCUCUCUGGACUGUAACUGACGCUGAGGCACGAAAGCGUGGGGAGCAAACAGGAUUAGAUACCCUGGUAGUCCACGCUGUAAACGAUGAGUAC
This 545-nucleotide ribosomal RNA is filed under the name Clostridioides difficile. Its description in RNAcentral is "bacterial SSU rRNA". It matches the Rfam family "Bacterial small subunit ribosomal RNA", at positions 253 to 816 of the family's 1533-position model. Lineage: Bacteria; Bacillati; Bacillota; Clostridia; Peptostreptococcales; Peptostreptococcaceae. The record is from RNAcentral.